This 305-nucleotide ribosomal RNA is filed under the name uncultured bacterium. RNAcentral describes it as "bacterial SSU rRNA". It matches the Rfam family "Bacterial small subunit ribosomal RNA", at positions 338 to 640 of the family's 1533-position model. The record is from RNAcentral.
CCUACGGGGGGCAGCAGUGAGGAAUAUUGGUCAAUGGGCGAGAGCCUGAACCAGCCAAGUCGCGUGAAGGAUGAAGGAUCUAUGGUUUGUAAACUUCUUUUAUAUGGGAAUAAAGUGAGGAACGUGUUCCUUUUUGUAUGUACCAUAUGAAUAAGCAUCGGCUAACUCCGUGCCAGCAGCCGCGGUAAUACGGAGGAUGCGAGCGUUAUCCGGAUUUAUUGGGUUUAAAGGGUGCGUAGGUGGUUAAUUAAGUCAGCGGUGAAAGUUUGUGGCUCAACCAUAAAAUUGCCGUUGAAACUGGUUGA